GCCCGCCCGCCCGCCUCUCGCGGCCGCUCUCCCCCCUCCCCGACACACACUCACAGGCCGGGCAUUGAUGGUAAUGUAUGCGAGGAAACAGCAGAGACUCAGUGAUGGCUGUCACGACCGGAGGGGGGACUCGCAGCCUUACCAGGCACUUAAAUACUCAUCGAAGAGUCACCCCAGUAGUGGUGAUCACAGACAUGAAAAGAUGCGAGACGCCACAGAUCCUUCACCACCAAAUAAAAUGUUGCGGAGAUCUGAUAGUCCUGAAAACAAAUUUAGUGACAGCACAGGUCACGCUAAGGCCAAAAACGUGCAUGCUCACAGAGUUAGAGAGAGGGAUGGUGGGACCAGUUAUUCUCCACAAGAAAAUUCACACAACCACAGUGCUCUUCAUAGUUCAAAUUCACAUUCUUCUAAUCCAAGCAAUAAUCCAAGCAAAACUUCAGAUGCACCUUAUGAUUCUGCAGAUGACUGGUCUGAGCAUAUUAGCUCUUCUGGGAAAAAGUACUACUACAAUUGUCGAACAGAAGUUUCACAAUGGGAAAAACCAAAAGAGUGGCUUGAAAGAGAACAGAGACAAAAAGAAGCAAACAAGAUGGCAGUUAAUAGCUUCCCAAAAGAUAGGGAUUACAGAAGAGAGGUGAUGCAAGCAACAGCCACCAGUGGGUUUGCCGGUGGAAUGGAAGACAAGCAUUCCAGUGAUGCCAGUAGUUUGCUCCCACAGAAUAUUUUGUCUCAAACAAGCAGACACAAUGACAGAGACUACAGACUGCCAAGAGCAGAGACUCACAGUAGUUCUACGCCAGUACAGCACCCCAUCAAACCAGUGGUUCAUCCAACUGCUGCCCCAAGCACUGUUCCUUCUAGUCCAUUUACGCUACAGUCUGAUCACCAGCCAAAGAAAUCAUUUGAUGCUAAUGGAGCAUCUACUUUAUCAAAACUGCCUACACCCACAUCUUCUGUCCCUGCACAGAAAACAGAAAGAAAAGAAUCUACAUCAGGAGACAAAUCUGUAUCACAUUCUUGCACAACUCCUUCUACAUCUUCUGCCUCUGGACUAAAUCCCACAUCUGCGCCUCCAACAUCUGCUUCAGCAGUCCCUGUUUCACCUGUUCCACAGUCACCAAUACCUCCAUUACUUCAGGACCCAAAUCUUCUUAGACAGUUGCUUCCUGCUUUGCAGGCUACGCUGCAGCUUAAUAAUUCUAAUGUGGAUAUAUCCAAAAUCAAUGAAGUUCUUACAGCAGCUGUGACACAAGCUUCACUGCAGUCUAUAAUUCAUAAAUUUCUUACUGCUGGACCAUCUGCUUUCAACAUAACUUCUCUGAUUUCUCAAGCUGCUCAACUCUCUACACAAGCCCAGCCAUCUAAUCAGUCUCCAAUGUCUUUAACAUCUGAUGCAUCAUCCCCAAGAUCUUACGUGUCUCCAAGAAUAAGCACACCUCAGACUAACACAGUCCCUAUCAAACCUUUGAUUAGUACUCCUCCUGUUUCAUCACAGCCAAAGGUUUUGAAAUUACAGGUUAGUACUCCAGUAGUUAAGCAAGGACCAGUUUCACAAUCAGCCACUCAGCAGCCUGUACCUGCUGAGAAGCCACAAGGUCAUGAACCCGUUUCUCCUCGAAGUCUUCAGCGCUCGAGUAGCCAGAGAAGUCCAUCGCCUGGUCCAAAUCAUACGUCUAGCAGUAACACAUCGAAUGCAGCAGUCGUAGCACAGAAUGCCUCUGCCCGACCUGCGUGCUCGUUAACACCUACGCUAGCGGCACACUUCAGUGAAAAUCUCAUAAAACAUGUUCAAGGCUGGCCCGCAGAUCAUGCGGAGAAGCAGGUGUGUUACGUGAAGAAAAUAUGGACAACAGAGACCUUUGGGCAUCAAGAUUGCGUGAAGAAGCCCAUAACAUGGGAAGCGUUCACAUGUCAGAAAUAUGUACUGAAUUAAAAAAUUUAAGAUCUUUAGUCCGAGUAUGUGAAAUUCAAGCAACUUUGCGAGAGCAAAGGAUACUAUUUUUGAGACAACAAAUUAAGGAACUCGAAAAGCUAAAAAAUCAGAAUUCCUUCAUGGUGUGAAGAUGUGAAUAAUUGCACAUGGUUUUGAGUACAGGAACUGUAAAUCUAUUGCCCAAUCUUAACAUUUUUGAGCUGCAUUUAAGUAGACUUUGGACCGUUAAGCUGGGCAAAAGAAAUGACAAGGGGAUGGGUCUGUGAGAGUCGAUUCAGGGGAAAGAUACAAGAUUGAUUUGUAAAACCCUUGAAAUGUAGAUUUCUUGUAGAUGUAUUCUUCACGUUGUAAAUAUGUUUUGUAGAGUGAAGCCAUGGGAAGCCAUGUGUAACAGAGCUGAGACAUCCAAAACUAAUCAAUGCUGAGGUGGCUAAAUAACUAGCCUUUUACAUGUAAACCUGUCUGCAAAAUUAGCUUUUUUUUUAAAAAAAAAAAAAAAAAAAAUUGGGGGGGGUUAAUUUAUCACUCAGAAAUCUUGCAUUUUCAAAAAUUCAGUGCAAGCGCCAGGCGAUCUGUGUCCAAGGAUACGAUUUUGAACCAUAUGGGCAGUGUACGAAAUAUCAUGAAACAACUGCUUCCACACUUGCACCUGAUCAAGAGCAGUGCUUCUCCAUUUGUUUUGCAGAGAAAUGUUUUUCAUUUCCCGUGUGUUCCAUUUCCCUCUGAAAUCCUUGAUCUGAUUUUAUCCAUUUUUUUAAGGCUCCUCUUUUUCUCCUUUCUUAAGGCACUGUUGCUAUGGCACUUUUCUAUAACCUUUUCAUUCCUGUGUACAGUAGCUUAAAAUUGCAGUGAUUGAGCAUAACCCACUUGUUUGUAUAAAUUAUUGAAAUCCAUUUGCACCCUGUAAGAGUGGACUUAAAAGUACUGCUGGGCAUGUGUGCUGAAAGUACACUGAUUGCUCAGAUAUAAGGAAAUAGCCCGAUGAACGUGGUCGUGGGAGGGGAAAGAGGAAACAAAGCUCCUCAGAUGUGAAUUGUAUCUGUUGUAAUAAACAUGUUAAAACAAACAAAAAUUGUUACUUUUCUUUUCCUUCGGUCAAUGCUUAUUAGAAUUUGAACUACCUGGGGAUUCUUUAUGAGAACUAUUCUUGUUGAAUAUUUAUACUUGAUUGAAAUAAUUCUUUAAGGGAAGUUUCGUUUAAAGCAUAUUAACAGAAAAUUGUGUAUAAAAUAUAUAAUGAAAUAUGAAAUUCAACAAGAAUGAUUAAGUCACUUCCCAAGUGGUUGUCAUUUGUUAAACCCUGGUUUACCUGUCUUGCUAUUAUGACAUUUCAUUUUGAAGGAUGUUUGUGUUGUAGCUAACUGUUCAAGUCUGGUGCUGACUGCUGUUCUUAGCCAUCACAAAACGCUAAAUUUGUGUAAUUGGAGCUUCCUGCUGUUAUCUGGAAAUGGUGGGAAAGCUCAGCUUUGUAUAUUGUUUCCUAAAGUAUAUUAAAAUAAAAAAAGAAACUAUUGCUACUAUAAAAUUACUUUGGCUUUUUUUUUUUUUCCCUUAAAAUAUCAGUCACAUGGCCUUAACAUGACACUGCCAGUAUUAAGUCACAAAGAUUUCUGUAUGUAGAAGAAUCAUUUAAUUUCACAAUCUUUUCCAAUUUAGAGCUUCUUUUUGUUGUCGUUGGCACAGAUAUAUUCAUGUGCUUUCAGAACUGCCAGCACCAAGGGCUUAUCUUGUCAUGUUAGAUAUGAAUGUAAUUUGCAUUAUGGGAUAUUAACUUAAAUUUGAAAAUUGGUCUCGCGCUCUAAGCAUAUCUUAAGCAUAUUUUGCAUAUAGGAGUAAGGCUCAGAUUUUUCCGUAAGUAAAGUGUAAGCAGCAGUAUGAAUGGUAUUUUCUAAAAUAACAAAAAUGUUCCAGUGUAAUUAAGAAGAAUAAAAAUCUUAAACUGGAAGCUGUUUUUUUUCCCCCCUGUAACUUGAGAAUACUCUUAAAUGUAAGAAAAGGUAAAUGUCAUGAAAUGUUCAUACCUGUGGCAUUGUUAACAUUUGUUGGAUUUAAUUAGUGCAUGUAAAGGAAACCUUGAAGAGCUGUGUUAAGCUAGAACCCUUAUUAGUGCAGCCCUGGAUCUUUCCUCCUGGAAAAAAGCAAACAGUUUGUGAUGUAGUAGGCCAGUGUUUCCUGAGCAGAUGGCAACUUGACUUGUGGUUUAAGGUAAAUUUGGAUUUGAUUUGCUAAUAGAAUUUAUUGAUCUAUAUCACUUUUCUUCCUUUGCUUAAAAAAUGUUUACAUCCAUAAAUGAGUUGCAUAUAUAUGUAGGAAACGAUGCCUAAUUUGAAAUUUCUUAGUGGUGAAUUUUUAAACACACAGAAAAAUUGAAAUCUUUUGUGGAAAUAUUUUUACAAUAUCUGAUUCACUUAUUCUGUAGUAAAUUAUUUUAAAUAUUGCACUUUAAUACAGACAUGGUAUUCAGCUACUAAGCUUUUGAGGUAACCAGGGAUUAUGUACUAUUAAAAUAGACAUUAUAUCCUAGAAUAUUCUUUAUCUAGUUAUACCCGUUGCCAUAGCUUUGAACACGUAUCAUUUUGGUGGGCAACUUGGUUCAGACAAUUUGAAAAUAAAAUUACUGAAUAGUCUCUAAGAAGCCUCAGGUGUUUUUUGUUUGUCUCUUAAAAGACUUUAUAGUCUGUAUUCAAACACUGAAAACUGUGAUAUUGUAACAAAGUGUAUUUAGUGAAGAUGGAUUUGUUAGAAAGUCCCCUGAAGAACCAGCUUCCCUACCUUUUAUUUUUCUGUUAAGUCAGGCCAGAAUUGAAGUUUAAAACUUGGACUACAACUCCCCGAUUUUAAACACUGAAAACUCAACUCCAUGUUCCACCCAGUUCUUUUCUGAGACAUACAUGCUGCUUUUAAUAGCCCAGAUGAUUGGUUUUGUUUUUAAUUCUAAAUCUGACACACAUGACAUAUUUUACUUUGAUACAUUUGAUAUUUAUAUUUGACAAAAAUUGACAUUUUUCUGUCUCACACUUGUAAAAUCUUGGGAAGGAGGUGCUUAAAACUUUGCAAAGAAUAAAUUAUUGCCCCAUUUCAAAAACAGUUUCUCGUUCUGUUUAAACAUAACCCUAGCUUUAAGAAACUAUUUCAAAGGGGGCAGGAGUGACAGAGUAAUUUCCUUCUACAUACCAGAACGAUUGUAGUUUGGGACUUAAAGCUACUGUAUUUAGAUGUGGAGUUUGAAUAUAUGGAUUUUUUUCCUUAAUACCUGUAAAUACGGCUGUAUUCUUGUAUCUGUACUGGAGUGUACAAAUGACACUAAAAAGUAAUAAAUAUGUUUUGACAGUAUUGUGCAGUUAUUUCAGAACAAUGUUUUUGAGAGUCUUAGAACGCAUAAUUUGAGUAAGGAAACAACAGAUUACUGCUGAAAUUUUAAUAGCAGUCAUGUGUUUCAGUAGUCUCAAAAUAGAAUUUUUUAGUUGCGAUUUUUAAAUUCUGGCUUAAAGUUGGGGUUCUUUAGGCUCUGCUAAUUUGCUGGACCCUUGCCCUGAUUUCUCACGUUGGGAGUACCCUAACAUUCAGUCUGCCUAGGUGAUCUUAUUCAGGUCCAUGGCUUAACAAUUUGUAAUAACACUCAAAUUAUCUUUAUCCCUGAGCUCCGGGUAGUCAGUUGAGAUACCUGGAUGUCUAAAGGUCUCUCAGACUUAGCAUGACCAAAAGGGAGCUCUCAGUUUGCGCCUUAGACCAUUCUCCAUUGUUCCCGUUACCUGUAAUUGACACUAUUAUUCCCCAGUUGCUGGAGACCCAAAACUAAAAAUCCUGUUUUUUUUUGCUUCCUAUGUCCCAUAUUUCAUCCGUCAUGAAGACCCACUAACUGCCUUCAAAAUGUAUUUUGGGUUCUGAGAAGGUCUCCUACCUCCAUGUUUACCGUUCUGGUCUGGAUCAGUCAUUUUUGGAACACUGCAGCCAUCUCCUGAUCUUUCUCCCUGCCACUGCUCUUACCCCACUGCCGCCCUCCCCUUGCCACACACACACUCUGUUCUCCAGACAGCUGCCUAAGUGAAAUGUAAACUAGAUUAUGUCAUUGUGUUCAUAAUGAUUUCACACUCAAAAAUAAAACCUAAAACAACUGCUGUGACUUAGGUAUUUCAAAUCCCUGAAUAUCACUACGUUCUCUUCUCAUCUACCAGUUUGUCUCUUGGUCACUGCACUUCGACCACGCUGCAGUCCCAUCUCAGGGCUUUUGCAUUUGCUUUUUCUGCCUGGAAAGCUGUUUUUGUAGAGAUUUUUGCAGUUUUUUGCCCAGUCGCAUGCAGUCUUUCAAAGAGGCCUUUCCUGACCAAAGAACGGUGUCUGAUCUGGAGGAACUACAUAAAUAUUUGUCAAAUGAAUUAUGGAUGUUGAGUAAAGGACUUUGACCAGACCAGGAUUUAAGAAUAUGUUUAUAAAAAGUUUAACAACUUUUUUUCUUAGCAGUGAGUUUUUUUCUUUUUAAUUAUUACAAUUUUUUAGGUACCAAAAAUUUACAAUCUGUUGGUUACCAAAACCUAGACUAUUAUAGUUUUUAGUGUGGACUCUUUAAGCAAGAUAAACGAAGAUAGUUUGAGCUUACUUACAUGAGUGCAUUUUAGUAUUAAGCUGAUGAGAAGGGGGAUGCUACUUCUGAUGUAACAAGCAUGGGGAGAAGGACCAGCAGGAACUGGCCCUGUUUCUCAAAGGCAAGGAUCCAGUGAGGCGUGGGGGUUGAAGACAGUCCUGGUUUUGCAAGGCAGGACUACUGUGAUAGGCCAUCCCUCAGUUCAGAUGUUGGACACCCAACCACACUGAUAUUCUGGCUUUCUAGGGCACGGAUGUAGGUGGCAAUCUGGUAUUCAAGUCAUGUUCUAAGAUGUGUCAUUAAUAGAACAUCUGCCCUAGGACAUACUCAUCCUGUAGAAAAUGGCUGGGGUAUAAGAAUUCUCUGCUUCUGGGAUGGGUGGGAAGAUUAAGAUGGAAUGGACACCCGAUGCCAUUAUAAACAGGCAUCUUUUUUUUAAGUGCCUUUUGUUGACUGCCUGAUUAAACAUAUAUGGGUGUGUAGGAGCCCUGGGGGUGCAGUGGUUAAAGUACUCAGCUGCUAGCUCAAAGGUCAGCAGGACAAACCCACCAGCCGCUUCUUGGGAGGAAGAUGUGGUAGCCUAUUUCCGUAAAAGCAGUCUUGAAAAUCCUACGGGGGGCAGUUCUGCCCUAUCCUAUAGGGUCACUAUGAGUCAGAAUUGACAGCAACAGAUUUUCAAUUGUAGAUGAGUGUGUGAGGAUCUGAAUAAGUGAUUUCUUACUCAUUUUUGAUAGUCCUGGUGCUGUCUUCUUGGGCGGAAAAGGCAGAAUGUGAAGCCGAGGGUUUUUGUCCCGUGCGUUGUGUGUGGAUCUCCGUUGCCUAGACCUUCAGUAAAUACUUCUGCAUGAGCAAGUGAGUGAAAUACUCAUUUUAAAUGUUUGCUCUCUAAGAAUGUUCAGCUUUGCUAUUUAAUAAAUUUAAGUCAAUGUUUUUUUUAAUCAUGAUUAAGGAGAAGGACUUGAGCAGAGAGUCACUAUCCGAAAUGUAAAAUCAAGUCCAUUGCUUAAAUUAAAGCACUUUGAUACCCUGACAUUUUAUCUUUGUGAGCUGUAACUGUUAAGGCGAAGGACAGAAGAUGUUGACCAUGGUUGGUGAUAGCUCUGGUAUUUAAAAUGCCAGUACAAAGUUGCAGGCUGCAUCUCUCUAGCUGUUUCACAAGCACAAAAGUUCCAAAGAUACUGUUUAAAAUACUGAUAAUGGAAUUUCAGUAAAGGAUAGUAGGUAACAUACUCCCUAAUGCCUAACAAAGGUUUUAAAAGAGCCCAAAUAUUCCUCUACAGACAGUAAAACAAUGAAAGGAGCACAACCCUGUUCUGUAAUCUUUGGAAAGUGAUCGCCAAAGAGAAAGGAAAAGAGAAACUUUUGGCUUAGUUUAGCACAUCUAAUUACCCCUGGAUUUGUCAGGGUCCAGUCAGAAGGUAGCUCACCCUAGGUAUCUCAAAAGGAGGGGGGUUGAAGGAUGAAACCAAGGCAGGUGUACCUGGAGGAAAUGACAAAAAAGAGAGCUGGGACUAUGGGCAGGGGGGAGGGGUCUGGAUCCAAGGAAAAGACAGCUACUAAGCAAGAUACCACCUGGAGCAGUUGUUAGGUGCCAUUGAAUCAAUUCUGGCUCAUAGUGACCCCAUGUGACGGUAUAACUGCCCCACAGGGUCUCCUAGACUAGUAUUUACAGGAGCAGAUGACCAGGUCUCCACCCCCGUGGAGCUGCUGAGUGGGUUUGAACUAUAGUGCUUAAUCAUUGUGCCACCAGGGCUCCUUCAGCUGAAGUAGAGAGGGAAAAACACAGGCUUUCUCCCUCUAGCCUCCUGAGAGUGCACGUAUUGGCAGAAUUUACCCAGGAGCAAGAGGACACAGAACCUGGGAAAUCCCCUACAAUACUGAGAAGGGAGGAGAAAGGAAAAUAAUGAAUCUUCGAAGAAACAGGCAAAUAACCAGCACAACCACUGACCACCACUAGCUUAAUAAGAGGAAGAAAAAGUAUACCAAUUUGAGCAACAUUUCCUGACAAAGGAUAGUGGAGUAAUGUCUACGAAAUUCUAAGAAAUGUCUAAAAAAAUCUAUUGAACCCCAAAAUCAUACUUAGUAAGAUGUUCAAAUAGACAACAGAAACUCCCAAACAGGAAAGGGCAAGAGACUAUUAUUGUACUCAGGAGACCUUAGAGAAAACAAUUGCUAACAAAAUCUAACCCAGAGAUGAACGGAGAAUAGUGUAAAAGCACUGUUGGUGUUAUGGAAGCGAUUUAGACAACAAAUACUAAAGAGGAAACCCUGGUGGCUCAGUAGUUAAGAGCUAUGGCUGCUAACCAAAAGGCCAGCAGUUCAAAUCCACCAGGCGCUCCUUGGAAGCUCUAUGCAGCAGUUCUACUCUGUCCUAUAGGGUCGCUAUGAGUCGGAAUCCACUCAACGGCAAUGAGUUUGUUUUGUUUUUAAUACUGAAGAGCUGUGGGGAACAUGAUACAGGAUUGUAGUAAAAUGUGGAAAUGUUGAAAUAAAAUGGGAGGCAGUGAGAAGUUGGGAGAAAAUAUGAGGAUGUUCAAUUUUUUUUUUCUUACUAGGGAGGUCUAAUGUUCAUAAAUCGAGGAAUAGAAAUGCACUCUUUACUAGCAGAACAGGUUCUUGCUCUAAUGGAGCUUACGGUCAAGAGAAGGCAAAAAGACAGUAAAUGAUUUUUAAAAGUAAAUGCACAAAAUUAGACAUCAGUACAUAAUGUGCACAAUAAAUAAUGAGUAAUUGCUGUGAAGAAAAAUUGAGACUGUUAAGAGGGCAAGGUUGAGGAAUUUUAGAUCACAUAGUCAGGGAAAGCAUCUCUGAAGACAUGACUUUGGACGUGAUACUUGAAAAAUGAGAACAAAACAGCCAUGCAAAAGUUAACGACAAAACAUUACAAGCAGUCCCAUAAAAUUCAAGGACAUAAAAGAGUUACUAUCACCAUUAUUAUUUUCAAUACUGCUUGGGAAAUACUAAACCAAUGCAAUUAUAUGGGAAAAAGAAGGGCUAUUUAUUUCUAUAUAUAUUGGAAAGGAGGAGGAAAAAUUAUUUUCAGUGAUGUGUGUAUCUGAAAAAUAGAAAGCUAUUACAGUAAAUUCAGUAAGAGGCCUAAUUACAAGUUUAAUAUGCAAAAAUCAAUAGUUUUGUUAUAUUGAAAAUGCAACAGAAGUAAAGAUUUAAUUUAUAUAGCUGCA
This is an RNA transcript of Loxodonta africana (African savanna elephant), 9700 nucleotides long. It is a transcript of the gene named WW domain containing adaptor with coiled-coil, with no coding region annotated. The transcript has 14 exons. The record is from RefSeq and is a predicted model, not a curated record. NCBI's taxonomy places the organism in Eukaryota, Metazoa, Chordata, Mammalia, Proboscidea, Elephantidae.